AGUGUCCCUGCCUGUUUGGGAGUCUUUGGAGGGGUUUCCUUGGGGACCUGGGACUCUCUCGUUUCUGUGGUGUUCAAUCUCCACAGUGUCGUGACAGACCACUGCCCGGAGCCCCUUCUGCCACUGCCUGCCCGACCCAAACCUGAUGCCAUGGAGAUGCCAACUGGCCAUAAACCCAGACUGUAAGCUCCUUGAAGACAGGAACAUCAUCAUGGCUGUUUAUCACAUUCCUCAGCAUCGGGCACAGAACCAGCUUUCCACCGCACUGGCGGCCAGUAUGUGAAGAACUGAACCAACUCCAACUCAG
RNAcentral lists this long non-coding RNA (307 nucleotides) under Felis catus (domestic cat). RNAcentral describes it as "lncRNA (ENSFCAG00000047498.1)". The record is from RNAcentral. Lineage: Eukaryota; Metazoa; Chordata; Mammalia; Carnivora; Felidae.